Molecule: long non-coding RNA, 2691 nt
Organism: Osmia lignaria (orchard mason bee)
Lineage: Eukaryota; Metazoa; Arthropoda; Insecta; Hymenoptera; Megachilidae
Source: RefSeq, a predicted model, not a curated record
CCCAGCCGAAGGAUUCCAAGAACGAUCGUAACGCAUCCUGACAAAAAGCACAGAAGAAUGGCGUACUCCGGAAUACCUCUGGAAACAAUAGGAAAAUUAAUGAAAUUACACCCGUUCAAGUACACGCUGGUUCGGUAAUCUAAUUCGUUUCAUCACGGUGCGAAUUGCGGACACGAGAUUGAAAGGAUAACAGCAUCCGUUCAACCGUUGUUAAAUUAUAUCAGUCUUCCAAUUGCUCGCGAUUGUUGAUCUGAAAAACAUUUUCGAGGCCCACCGGAAGUCUGAUAAACAGCAAAGGGAUGUAACUAAUCACGGUACCGCUCACCUGGCAUACGUAUACGUCAACAAGGAGAUCAAUGCUGUUGGACCGAUAUUCACUUCUCGACAGUUUCAGGCGAACAACUUGGAUGGAUCGUCGAGACGUUAGGAGCUUACCGUUUGAUGCGUCCUCUCCUACCUGCUCUACACUCUGAUUAAAUCUACAGCUGUUUCACACGUGCCUCCGCUCUCCCUCCACUUGGAGAACCUGCUGAUACCUUGUCCAGGAUACGAACGCAUGCGUCGCCCCCUCUAAAUGGUCAUUGGCUUCGGAAAACCCAAAUCAUGGACAAUUUACCGAACUAUUUGCCCUUUUUUCACGGAUCCAUGGCCGGAUUUUUAUUCAUAGAACUUCCUGCUGGGUGUUUCCCAUCCUGACGCUCUGAUAAUCUUCGUCAGAGUUUGUUUGGUUUUGUUAAUAGUAGAAGUGUGAUGUAGAAAAUAGCAUAGUGCAGAAUUACUUCAAAGAAAGGGGCCACGGUGUUUCUGUAUCUUUAUGGAGUUCUUAAUUCUCCUUCAUAUGUUUUAUUUAGUAUUUUGAUUAUAUUAAUUAUUAUUCAUCUCUUUAUCAAAUUAACGCUUUUUAACCCUUGAAAAUAUUGAACUAAGCAUACACUUAAAUACCAAUUUGAUAAAAUGGUACUUAAGUGAAAACAGUGAGCCUUGGAAAACACUUAUCAUGGAGGAAUAUUAUUUUGAAAUUUUUGAUGGAAAAAGUUAGAUGAUCGCAAAGUAUCAUUACCUUAGUGAUAGAAGAUGGAAAGUAAGUUUUAGGAUGGUGACGAGAUGGUAACUGGUAAAAGUGGUAUUUAGUAUUUUGACCAUCAAUUGUAUUAAUUAUGAUUCAUCUCUUUAUCAAAUUAACGCUUUUUAACCAUUGAAAAUAUUGAACUAAGCAUACACUUAAAUACCAAUUUGAUAAAAUGGUACUUAAGUGAAAACAGUGAGCCUUGGAAAACACUUAUCAUGGAGGAAUAUUAUUUUGAAAUUUUUGAUGGAAAAAGUUAGAUGAUCGCAAAUUAUUAUUACCUUAGUGAUAGAAGAUGGAAAGUAAGUUUUAGGAUGGUAACGAGAUGGUAACUGGUAAAAGUGGUCGCGACUCUCUAUGAUUACGUGGCGUUAAUUUAUGUCUCCUGUGAAAAAGCAUAAACGAGCUUGGUAGAAACAAACAAAUCGUUAUAAAAAACAAAUAGAAGUAGAGAUACGAUUGUUCCACUACCAGAUUCCUUCAUCGAUCGCCGUGGAAUGUGUCGAUUACUUCCACAAACGACACGUUCCGCUACACUUUUCCAUACUGUCACGUUUCUUUCCUCGUUUUUCACUCGAAUUCUUUUUAUCUAUUUUGGUUUCUUUUUCCUAAGAGAAUGGUUGAAAUUCUUCGCAUGUGCCGGCCACUGUGUGCAUGUCUGUAAUUACAAGGACGUUCUGUGUUCUUGAAUGACGAUAUGUUUUGCAUGUUAACAUGCUUCUCGUAACACGUCAACACAAAAAGUAACAGAAACUUCUGUUCUUUUCUGAUGUAUCACGAAAUUAAUGAGAACUGGUACGUGUCAGUAACAAACGUCUCGAAACGUUUAAUAGGUAAUUUGUCAAAGUCGUUGAAAAAACAUUCUAAUCAUUCAGCUGCUUCGAAUGAUAAGUGAAAAUAACAUGUUAAUACAUGACCUUAAAAGACUAGUAUUGAUACAGCUUGAACGAGAUCAUCGUUUAGCCAUGAAUUUAUUACCGUUUCACGUCUCGUUGGGCAUUGUUUAUAAGAAUUGACACUCGGUGACUCGAAAAUCACUAAAAAUAGAAACAAAUUAUGUACGUGAUUUUUCGCGUUUACCGCUACAUCUCCGCCGAUAAAUAUGCUCAAGUUUAGUCUUGAAAGCGAUCUCGAUGUGAGAAUUAUCAAUAAAAACUGUGAACGCGUUAAAAGCUAUUAACGUGAUCUAGAUUAAUUUACUAUAAUGAUUCUAUUUUUUGAAAUUUCAAAUGUAUUUCGUCUCGAUCGGUUUUUACCAUUGUAUACUUGUUCGUCAGUUAGUCCAACACUUAAGACAAUAUUUAUAUUCUUCAUUAUUUACGAAAGCAAUCGCAUUUGCUAUAAAUAGCCAUGCUUGACCGUCUCUUAUAAAUAUAAAAAUCAUGAAAAAUAAGCAAUGAACUUGUAGUAUAAAAAUAUUAAUAAAUUAGUUUCGUUGUAUUGUUUAUUAAAAAAAAAGAAUGGUAUGUUCGAGGAAUGCUAUAUAAAAAAGUUUCGUUGAAAAUAAAAGUGUUCAGUGUGUUGUGACGAAGUAAUUUGUUAUGUAAUCAACGAGUUUCUUGGAAAUGAUACAAUUAAUUGCAAAUUUCUCAGACAACUACGUAGAUUGUAGAAUUGUAAAAAAA